GAUGAACGCUGGCGGCGUGCCUAAUACAUGCAAGUCGAGCGAACGGACGAGAAGCUUGCUUCUCUGAUGUUAGCGGCGGACGGGUGAGUAACACGUGGAUAACCUACCUAUAAGACUGGGAUAACUUCGGGAAACCGGAGCUAAUACCGGAUAAUAUUUUGAACCGCAUGGUUCAAAAGUGAAAGACGGUCUUGCUGUCACUUAUAGAUGGAUCCGCGCUGCAUUAGCUAGUUGGUAAGGUAACGGCUUACCAAGGCAACGAUGCAUAGCCGACCUGAGAGGGUGAUCGGCCACACUGGAACGGGAACACGGUCCAGACGCCUACGGGAGGCAGCAGUAGGGAAUCUGCCGCAAUGGGCGAAAGCCUGACGGAGCAACGCCGCGUGAGUGAUGAAGGUCUUCGGAUCGUAAAACUCUGUUAUUAGGGAAGAACAUAUGUGUAAGUAACUGUGCACAUCUUGACGGUACCCAAUCAGAAAGCCACGGCUAACUACGUG
Molecule: ribosomal RNA, 497 nt
Filed under: uncultured bacterium
Lineage: Bacteria
Description: partial 16S ribosomal RNA
Rfam family: Bacterial small subunit ribosomal RNA
Source: RNAcentral